RNAcentral lists this non-coding RNA (82 nucleotides) under Blautia faecis. RNAcentral describes it as "S10-Clostridia ribosomal protein leader". It matches the Rfam family "S10-Clostridia ribosomal protein leader". The record is from RNAcentral. Lineage: Bacteria; Bacillati; Bacillota; Clostridia; Lachnospirales; Lachnospiraceae.
UGAUAGCAAUGAAGCGCGAGGUUGCCGCCGACUAAGGCGGGUUUUCCGUGGAGCGAAUGUCAAGUUAGGAAACUGACGACAA